RNAcentral lists this ribosomal RNA (609 nucleotides) under Triticum aestivum (bread wheat). RNAcentral's name for it is "partial small subunit ribosomal RNA". Lineage: Eukaryota; Viridiplantae; Streptophyta; Magnoliopsida; Poales; Poaceae. The record is from RNAcentral.
AUGGACACCCGUCAAUACAAACUACGAUGCAAUGUGCGAACUGUGUAUGGUGACCAAUGGUAUGAGAAUGACCCUCCGCCGAGGCCAGUGGCUGAUUCGCCACCCGCCUACGCAGAUGGCAAGAUUUACUGGUUGGUCGAGCCAAAGCUCGGGCCGAGCACCACUGCAACCUGCGAGCUCGUGGCAUUUGACACCAUAGAAAGAGAAUUUGAGGUUGUGGAAGGGCCACCGUGCAGCUACAAUGGAGGCCGCAUAUCCGUUGUUGAGCUCCAUGGCAUAAUUCAUGUGGCGUGGUCGGAUCAAGACGCAGAUGCCAUUGACGUAUGGGUGAUGGAUGACAACGGCGCUUGGUGUGUCGAGUACCGCAUAGAGCUCGCUGAGUUCUGGCCGGAGUACUCAUCCGAGAGAACAACGAUCAUGGCUAUUGAUCCUACAGAUGGACGGAUUUUGCUCAGCACAGGAAGAUCAUUAGGAUACUACAAUCUCAAGACCAUGGAGCUGGAGACAAUCUACCGUGUCACUGCUCAGUCAGUGUACCAUGAUGACAGGCCACAUUUCUGUGCUGUUGUCUACCAAGAAAGCCUAUUCCGCCCAUUUAUGAGGGAGUAA